This 378-nucleotide unclassified non-coding RNA is filed under the name plant metagenome. RNAcentral's name for it is "partial contains 5.8S ribosomal RNA, internal transcribed spacer 2, and large subunit ribosomal RNA". The stretch from base 1 to 105 matches the Rfam family "5.8S ribosomal RNA", at positions 50 to 154 of the family's 154-position model. The record is from RNAcentral.
GAAAUGCGAUAAGUAAUGUGAAUUGCAGAAUUCAGUGAAUCAUCGAAUCUUUGAACGCACCUUGCGCUCCUUGGUAUUCCUUGGAGCAUGCCUGUUUGAGUAUCAUGAAAUCUUCAAAGUAAAUCUUUUGUUAACUCAAUUGGUUUCUACUUUGGUAUUGGAGGUCUUUGCAGCUUCACACCUGCUCCUCUUUGUUCAUUAGCUGGAUCUCAGUGUUAUGCUUGGUUCCACUCGGCGUGAUAAGUUAUCUAUCGCUGAGGACACUGUAAAAGGUGGCCAAGGUAAAUGCAGAUGAACCGCUUCUAAUAGACCAUUGACUUGCACAAUACUUUUAUGAUCUGAUCUCAAAUCAGGUAGGACUACCCGCUGAACUUAAGC